Molecule: unclassified non-coding RNA, 264 nt
Filed under: air metagenome
Description: partial contains small subunit ribosomal RNA, internal transcribed spacer 1, and 5.8S ribosomal RNA
Rfam family: Eukaryotic small subunit ribosomal RNA (bases 1-46)
Source: RNAcentral
AAGUCGUAACAAGGUUUCCGUAGGUGAACCUGCGGAAGGAUCAUUAAUGAAAUUUGAGGGGAUUACAAGUCCCCUCACUCUUCUCUCAAAACACCUUGUGAAUUUACCAUGUUGCUUUGGCAGGUCUCUUGAAAAAAGUUAGACUAAUCAGUUUUCAAAGCUGAGAGGUGCCUGCCAAGGACAUCUUCAUUACCCUUUUUUUAUGUCUGAAAUUUACUUUAACAAGUGAAAACAAAACUUUCAACAAUGGAUCUCUUGGCUCUG